CUUGAGCAGCUCUCGAUCCUUCGGUCGGCCGUGAAACACAGCUCUUUGGAACCUCUGGUCCCCGUGGGCCCAUUUUCAAGGCGCAUUCGUCGCCCUGCUGGGGUACAGAGCCCCCCUCUCCUCCCCCCACCCCCCUGCACCCGCUGCCGUCCGACAGCCCUGCUCCCAGCGCAGCCGCCGCCGCACCCCGAGGCUCACUUCCGACUCUGGACGGUCCCAUUCACAGGGACCUAUUCACAGGGACCCCUCGGCGUCUUUGGCCGAGGCAGGAGGGGAUGGGAGCUCCCUCUCUCGGCGGAGCCGCCUGGGAAGCCCGGCCCCGGGGUGCGGGUGGGGGUGGGGGGCUGCGUCCGCGGCUCUGCGGCCUGCGCGCCUCGCUCCCUGGACGCUCCCGGGCGCCAAGGCGAGACCCGGCCGCGCGGCGCUCCUCCCUCGCGCAGCCCAGGUGUGCCCCGCCCGCCGCGGCCCGGACUCCGUCUGCCACCGAGGAGCCUGCCCCUGCCCCCGCCGCCCCCCGACACGGCCCCGGGGCGCUGCCCGCGGCUCGUGCCCGCGCCACCGCCUCCCGCUCGCCAGGCGCACACCCGCAGUCCAGGCGACGCGCAACCGGCCCCGAGCCGGCCCUGCUCUCGGGUGCCUCGGGUUCCCCGUGUCCCCCCCAACCCCCCAGCCCUUAGCUGCAGACCCGGGCACCUGCUGACCAGCCUGGCACCGAGGGAGGAGGGCCCGCGCCCGCGAGGCGACACCCGGCGACGGGUCCCCCCCUCGCUCCCGCUGCGGGCGGCUCCGACCCCGAGCUCCGGCCCACGCCGCCCCGGGGAAGGGAGCCUAAGGAAUCCGGAGGUGCCCCCAGGGCGGGCCCCGGGCGACCCGUCUGGUCCACAAGGUCCCCUCCGUCACCGUCAGACGGCGGAACCCCGAGCCCCGAAGUGGCGGGUGGUGGGAUUUUCCUGGGGCCUCUCCAGCCUCUGGGUUCUGCUGAGGUGUGCUGGGGCGGUGGGGGGGGGGGGGCACAUAAAACGCAGAGUCGUGUUUCUUCUACAAAAUGAGCGUUUGGUCUACAUGACGAUGGCCCAGGGUUUGCUCUGGGCUCACAGGGCGCUGGGGCGAGGUCUCCCAAAACUUGCGCGCCCCUUUAGCUCGCGGACAGGUGACGGGCAUGGGGGGACACCAGGCCAGGUCGGCGCACCCUGCCGGCCCUCCUCUUUCUUUCUAAUAGGCGAGGGGGCUCUUUGGAGUUAUGGUUACUCGCAUCCUGGUGGUGGUUGUCUUCUUGGCGGCUUGAGGAGUGCGAAACAAAGGCAUCUGGACUGCUCGACGCACCGUUUGUUCUGCUUCCCUCUUGUUAGCAAAAUCAGCGUCUUCCUUAGUUUUUAUUCUUUUAAGCAAAAAAAAAAAAAAAAAAAAAACCAGGUCGGGGGAGGACCGAGGAACUUUGUCCACGGAAGCACAUUCGGAUUCCUCCCCACACACACACACUCGCUAAGGAUACCCCCCCCCCCAGCUCCGAAAGCUCUGCCCUCCCCCAGGUUCCCAAAGCAAAGUUCUAGAAGCUCACUUCCCAAGGCCGCUCCACGGGCUCUCCCUCCCCAUCUGCAAGGAACUGUGGAUAACGACUCGUGGCUUAAAACAACACACACACACAAAAACUCGUGUUUCAAAUUUAAAAAAAAGGGGGGGGCAGCAAAUAAACGCGUCGGGUUCAGAUUUCAGAUACAUCGGAAGAGGCGAAGCCCCUUGCCCGACAUCGCCUGCCGCAGGUCCUGCGCCCCGGUAGCCGGGGACCCGCAGCUCCCGGUCGCCCAGUUCAGAGGCGACGCCAGGCCUGGGCGCGCGCAGAAGUUUUCAGGGCGCCGGGGCCCCGCGUGCAGACUCGCCGGAGCUGCAGAUCCCCUCGUGCCCACUAGAGGUCACUGGGCCCUCGCAGCUCGCCGCGCGGCCGGCCGCCCCCCGCUCCUUAAGCUCAAAUUAGCCGCGCGUUAA
RNAcentral lists this long non-coding RNA (1983 nucleotides) under Canis lupus dingo (dingo). Its description in RNAcentral is "lncRNA (ENSCAFG00020005246.1)". Lineage: Eukaryota; Metazoa; Chordata; Mammalia; Carnivora; Canidae. The record is from RNAcentral.